Molecule: ribosomal RNA, 427 nt
Filed under: uncultured bacterium
Lineage: Bacteria
Description: bacterial SSU rRNA
Rfam family: Bacterial small subunit ribosomal RNA
Source: RNAcentral
UAGGGAAUAUUGGACAAUGGGGGCAACCCUGAUCCAGCCAUGCCGCGUGGGUGAAGAAGGCCCUCGGGUUGUAAAGCUCUUUUGUCCGGAAAGAAAAGCAUUCGGUGAAUACCCGGAUGUUCUGACGGUACCGGAAGAAUAAGCACCGGCUAACUUCGUGCCAGCAGCCGCGGUAAUACGAAGGGUGCAAGCGUUACUCGGAAUUACUGGGCGUAAAGCGUGCGUAGGUGGUUGUUUAAGUCUGAUGUGAAAGCCCUGGGCUCAACCUGGGAAUGGCAUUGGAAACUGGGCAGCUAGAGUGCGGUAGAGGGUAGUGGAAUUCCCGGUGUAGCAGUGAAAUGCGUAGAGAUCGGGAGGAACAUCUGUGGCGAAGGCGACUGCCUGGACCAGCACUGACACUGAGGCACGAAAGCGUGGGGAGCAAACA